Molecule: ribosomal RNA, 258 nt
Filed under: uncultured bacterium
Lineage: Bacteria
Description: partial 16S ribosomal RNA
Rfam family: Bacterial small subunit ribosomal RNA
Source: RNAcentral
UACGUAGGGGGCAAGCGUUGUCCGGAUUUAUUGGGCGUAAAGAGCGUGUAGGCGGCCAGACAGGUCAGCUGUGAAAACUCGAGGCUCAAACCUCGAGACGUCGGUUGAAACCGUCUGGCUAGAGUCCGGAAGAGGAGAGUGGAAUUCCCGGUGAUCGAGCGGUGGAAAUACGCAGAUAUCGAGAGGAACACCUGCGGCGAAGGCGGGUUGCUGGGCCGACACUGACGCUGAUGCGCGAAAGCCAGGGGAGCGAACGGG